GAUGAACGCUGGCGGCGUGCCUAAUACAUGCAAGUCGAGCGAACGGACGAGAAUCUUGCUUCUCUGAUGUUAGCGGCGGACGGGUGAGUAACACGUGGAUAACCUACCUAUAAGACUGAGAUAACUUCGGGAAACCGGAGCUAACACCGGACAAUAUUUUGAACCGCAUGGUUCAUAAGUGAAAGACGGUCUUGCUGUCACUUAUAGAUGGAUCCGCGCUGCAUUAGCUAGUUGGUAAGGUAACGGCUUACCAAGGCAACGAUGCAUAGCCGACCUGAGAGGGUGAUCAGCCACACUGGAACUGAGACACGGUCCAGACUCCUACGGGAGGCAGCAGUAGGGAAUCUUCCGCAAUGGGCGAAAGCCUGACGGAGCAACGCCGCGUGAGUGAUGAAGGUCUUCGGAUCGUAAAACUCUGUUAGUAGGGAAGAACAUAUGUGUAAGUAACUGUGCACAUCUUGACGGUACCUAAUCAGAAAGCCACGGCUAACUACGUG
This 497-nucleotide ribosomal RNA is filed under the name uncultured bacterium. Its description in RNAcentral is "partial 16S ribosomal RNA". It matches the Rfam family "Bacterial small subunit ribosomal RNA", at positions 28 to 507 of the family's 1533-position model. The record is from RNAcentral.